Molecule: ribosomal RNA, 250 nt
Filed under: uncultured prokaryote
Description: partial 16S ribosomal RNA
Rfam family: Bacterial small subunit ribosomal RNA
Source: RNAcentral
UACGAAGGGAGCUAGAGUUGUUCGGAAUCACUGGGCGUAAAGGGCGUGUAGGCUGUUUUACAAGUUAAGGAACAAAUCCCUAAGCUUAACUUAGGUUUCUUUUUAAUACUGUAAGACUAGAGUCUCUAAGAGGAUGAUGGAAUUAUGCAUGUAGAGGUGGAAUUCAUAGAUAUGCAUAAGAACACCGGAGGCGAAGGCGAUCAUCUGGUAGAGUACUGACGCUGAGGCGCGAAGGCGUGGGGAGCAAACA